Molecule: ribosomal RNA, 303 nt
Filed under: Shigella sonnei
Lineage: Bacteria; Pseudomonadati; Pseudomonadota; Gammaproteobacteria; Enterobacterales; Enterobacteriaceae
Description: partial 16S ribosomal RNA
Rfam family: Bacterial small subunit ribosomal RNA
Source: RNAcentral
AAAUUGAAGAGUUUGAUCAUGGCUCAGAUUGAACGCUGGCGGCGGGCCUAACACAUGCAAGUCGAACGGUAACAGGAAGCAGCUUGCUGCUUCGCUGACGAGUGGCGGACGGGUGAGUAAUGUCUGGGAAACUGCCUGAUGGAGGGGGAUAACUACUGGAAACGGUAGCUAAUACCGCAUAACGUCGCAAGACCAAAGAGGGGGACCUUCGGGCCUCUUGCCAUCGGAUGUGCCCAGAUGGGAUUAGCUUGUUGGUGGGGUAACGGCUCACCAAGGCGACGAUCCCUAGCUGGUCUGAGAGGA